GUGUGUUCCAGGUAAAUCCGGUUCACUUUAACACUGAGGCGUGAUGACGAGGCACUACGGUGCUGAAGCAACAAAUGCCCUGCUUCCAGGAAAAGCCUCUAAGCAUCAGGUAACAUCAAAUCGUACCCCAAACCGACACAGGUGGUCAGGUAGAGAAUACCAAGGCGCUUGAGAGAACUCGGGUGAAGGAACUAGGCAAAAUGGUGCCGUAACUUCGGGAGAAGGCACGCUGACACGUAGGUGAAGUGAUUUACUCAUGGAGCUGAAGUCAGUCGAAGAUACCAGCUGGCUGCAACUGUUUAUUAAAAACACAGCACUGUGCAAACACGAAAGUGGACGUAUACGGUGUGACGCCUGCCCGGUGCCGGAAGGUUAAUUGAUGGGGUCAGCGCAAGCGAAGCUCCUGAUCGAAGCCCCGGUAAACGGCGGCCGUAACUAUAACGGUCCUAAGGUAGCGAAAUUCCUUGUCGGGUAAGUUCCGACCUGCACGAAUGGCGUAAUGAUGGCCAGGCUGUCUCCACCCGAGACUCAGUGAAAUUGAACUCGCUGUGAAGAUGCAGUGUACCCGCGGCAAGACGGAAAGACCCCGUGAACCUUUACUAUAGCUUGACACUGAACAUUGAGCCUUGAUGUGUAGGAUAGGUGGGAGGCUUUGAAGUGUGGACGCCAGUCUGCAUGGAGCCGGCCUUGAAAUACCACCCUUUAAUGUUUGAUGUUCUAACGUGGACCCGUGAUCCGGGUUGCGGACAGUGUCUGGUGGGUAGUUUGACUGGGGCGGUCUCCUCCUAAAGAGUAACGGAGGAGCACGAAGGUUGGCUAAUCCUGGUCGGACAUCAGGAGGUUAGUGCAAUGGCAUAAGCCAGCUUGACUGCGAGCGUGACGGCGCGAGCAGGUGCGAAAGCAGGUCAUAGUGAUCCGGUGGUUCUGAAUGGAAGGGCCAUCGCUCAACGGAUAAAAGGUACUCCGGGGAUAACAGGCUGAUACCGCCCAAGAGUUCAUAUCGACGGCGGUGUUUGGCACCUCGAUGUCGGCUCAUCACAUCCUGGGGCUGAAGUAGGUCCCAAGGGUAUGGCUGUUCGCCAUUUAAAGUGGUACGCGAGCUGGGUUUAGAACGUCGUGAGACAGUUCGGUCCCUAUCUGCCGUGGGCGCUGGAGAACUGAGGGGGGCUGCUCCUAGUACGAGAGGACCGGAGUGGACGCAUCACUGGUGUUCGGGUUGUCAUGCCAAUGGCACUGCCCGGUAGCUAAAUGCGGAAGAGAUAAGUGCUGAAAGCAUCUAAGCACGAAACUUGCCCCGAGAUGAGUUCUCCCUGAGACUUUAGGUCUCCUGAAGGAACGUUGAAGACGACGACGUUGAUAGGCCGGGUGUGUAAGCGCAGCGAUGCGUUGAGCUAACCGGUACUAAUGAACCGUGAGGCUUAACCUUACAACGCCGAAG
RNAcentral lists this ribosomal RNA (1438 nucleotides) under Salmonella enterica. Its description in RNAcentral is "partial 23S ribosomal RNA". It matches the Rfam family "Bacterial large subunit ribosomal RNA", at positions 1525 to 2925 of the family's 2925-position model. RNAcentral also lists the same sequence under 1 other name. Lineage: Bacteria; Pseudomonadati; Pseudomonadota; Gammaproteobacteria; Enterobacterales; Enterobacteriaceae. The record is from RNAcentral.